GCCUCGGUGGUGGAAUAGGUAGACACGUGGGACUUAAAAUCCCAUGCCCCUUAAAGGCGUGCCGGUUCGACUCCGGCCCGAGGUACCA
RNAcentral lists this transfer RNA (88 nucleotides) under Erysipelotrichaceae bacterium. Its description in RNAcentral is "tRNA-Leu". It matches the Rfam family "tRNA". From Rfam's summary of the family: Transfer RNA (tRNA) molecules are approximately 80 nucleotides in length. Their secondary structure includes four short double-helical elements and three loops (D, anti-codon, and T loops). Further hydrogen bonds mediate the characteristic L-shaped molecular structure. tRNAs have two regions of fundamental functional importance: the anti-codon, which is responsible for specific mRNA codon recognition, and the 3' end, to which the tRNAs corresponding amino acid is attached (by aminoacyl-tRNA synthetases). tRNAs cope with the degeneracy of the genetic code in two manners: having more than one tRNA (with a specific anti-codon) for a particular amino acid; and 'wobble' base-pairing, i.e. permitting non-standard base-pairing at the 3rd anti-codon position. The record is from RNAcentral. Lineage: Bacteria; Bacillati; Bacillota; Erysipelotrichia; Erysipelotrichales; Erysipelotrichaceae.